CUUACCCAAAGGAUCAAAUUCAGGCCAUACCGGAUGUGCCCAAAUCAUUUCCAUCUGACGCCCAGGUCAGCCCACGAGGCCUGGCCUUGAGGAGCGGCUCCCAUCACCAAUGAGAAUGCCUGGCCCCCACUGGAAUAUUCCACCAGGGAAACAGUCCGAGGAGAGUGUAAGCAACUUGUCCCAAGUCUCACCAACGUGAGCAGCAGGGCUAGGAUUCCAAUUCACAUUCACCUGACCUCAAAGCCACACUGCAGGAUAUAAGUGCCUAUGGGGCCAUUUUCAAGUGCUCAUGAAAGGAGUGUGGAGCCAAUGAAAGAUUGACAAUGUUUGUUGUGCCAAAUAAGAGCAUUAAAAAAACAACAACGCUACCAUCUAUUAUCAUCAGUUUUCCACAAAAGAAAGGACUUUUUACAUCUAAAAAAAGGUGGGCCCCACCGAAUCAGUUGAAGGCCUUAAGAGAAAAAAGACUGACCUCCUCACAGAAGAGGAAAUUCUGCCUCCAGACAGCCUUUGGACUUGAACUACAACAUCAACUAUUCCCAGGGCCUCCAGCUUGCCAGCCUGCUCUGAAGAUUUUGGACUUACCAGCUCCCACAAUCAUCUGCUGAUCCUUUGCAGAGAAAUCUAAGGACCAGGCCACAAGAGUGAAACCACAAGGUGGAAGAAGCUAGAUUUCCUGAAUGACACGUGGAAGGCAGCCUGUCAGUCAGGGAUACUUUGUGAACACAUGACACUUCGCUGGACAAAAAGGAAAAAUAUCUGGGUGGGAGAAAUAGGGUGGGGCCAGUGAAGCCUGCAUUCCACUAGCUACUGGACUUAGUUGAAAAUAGCAAGCUGUUCUCAAGAACUCUGAAUUAAAGUGCCUCCCUCCCUCACACUGUACUCAGGGGUGCCUUCCUUGAGGAAUUGAAAGCAGAAAGAUGUGGGAGCUAAGAGCUAAGCUGAACAAAAGGAGACAUCAGCAGUGCAAUGCUGGAUCAGACCAGCCUGGGUUUGAAUACUGAGUAGGAAAAUCAUAACAGAGGGAGAGAGAAGAAGCCAAG
Molecule: long non-coding RNA, 1043 nt
Organism: Myotis davidii
Lineage: Eukaryota; Metazoa; Chordata; Mammalia; Chiroptera; Vespertilionidae
Exons: 7
Source: RefSeq, a predicted model, not a curated record